RNAcentral lists this unclassified non-coding RNA (345 nucleotides) under soil metagenome. RNAcentral describes it as "partial contains 5.8S ribosomal RNA, internal transcribed spacer 2, and large subunit ribosomal RNA". The stretch from base 1 to 119 matches the Rfam family "5.8S ribosomal RNA", at positions 35 to 154 of the family's 154-position model. The record is from RNAcentral.
GAUGAAGAACGCAGCGAAAUGCGAUACGUAAUGUGAAUUGCAAAUUCAGUGAAUCAUCGAGUCUAUGAACGCACAUUGCGCCCCCUGGUAUUCCGGGGGGCAUGCCUGUCCGAGCGUCAUUGCUGCCCUCAAGCACGGCUUGUGUGUUGGGCCCCGUCCUCCGAUCCCGGGGGACGGGCCCGAAAGGCAGCGGCGGCACCGCGUCCGGUCCUCGAGCGUAUGGGGCUUUGUCACCCGCUCUGUAGGCCCGGCCGGCGCUUGCCGAUCAACCCAAAUUUUUAUCCAGGUUGACCUCGGAUCAGGUAGGGAUACCCGCUGAACUUAAGCAUAUCAAUAAGCGGAGGA